UAUCAGAAUUACUUACCUUCGCACGUUUGCAGUAAUUUUUGUGGUGUUUGUGUUCGAAACGUAGUCGCACAUCAAGAAAAAAUAAUAAUACCGCACAGCACUGCAUGAAUAAAAGAUGCAAUAUACAUAGACGAAAACUUGCGAUACCUAUUUUGCUGUAAACUGUGUAUGUAGUACUAUAUUGUACUUGCACUUUUGGGGAUUUAUAUUAUGGUAUGUAGUAAGGGCAACUCGCGUCGAACUGCUACAGCCUCGGCCCUCGGCGAAAGCUUAGAGGAUAAUUCUGUGACUGAAAUUUUUAAGAGUCCUUCAUUCUUACACCUUCAGUUUUUAUUAUUUUGUGCAUCCUCAUCUUUUUUCCGCAUCACCGGAAAUAACCGUAUGACAUCAAAUGCCGGAAGAAAAGUAUAUAUCAGAACAGCAAGAAGCCGAAAUCAAACCAUUAAUGCAUGCUCCCAUGUCCCAGAACAAAGCACAUACGUUAAAGCAAAUUCUGUCUCAACGCCACUAUGUGUUUGAUUCACCAAAAGACGACGUCGUGCCUGAAAUGGGGCUUGUUCAGAGCUGUUUUCCCUGGACGAGGAUGACAAAGUCGAAUGAUCGGCGGUCAGAAUUUGAUCCUGAUUUCAACAUUGGGACUCCAAAAAGCCGCUUUGCUAUGUGCAGCAUGCGCAACUGGCAAACCGUUUCCGAAAGGAAAUGGAAAGCAGUUUGUUGCUUCUGUUGUUCUUCGCAACCACCCCCAUAUUAGCAUUUUCAGUUCUUACCGGCCACGGAGAUUCGUUAAUUGAGUCUGUUACGCAAAUUGUUUCGAAUCCGAACGAUGAUCAGGAAUCAUGCAAAAGCACAGAAUGCUGGACACUUUGAAAACGUUUUCUUCUUCAGUUCCCGCCGGCCUUCAUUAAUGUUUUCGUGGAUAUUUAACAUGUUUUAAAAUAGCAUAAAUUUUGAUUUUGCAUCGUUAAUUCAACUGAUGAUUUGCAAUCAUGUAUUCAAAUUAUGGCCUCAA
Paramacrobiotus metropolitanus is the source of this 1009-nucleotide long non-coding RNA. RefSeq lists it as uncharacterized. The transcript is spliced from 2 exons. The record is from RefSeq and is a predicted model, not a curated record. NCBI's taxonomy places the organism in Eukaryota, Metazoa, Tardigrada, Eutardigrada, Parachela, Macrobiotidae.